UAGUUCAGUUGGUAGAACGCUACCUUGCCAUGGUAGAGGUCGCGGGCAGUUAAGCUCAGUAACGCCGAAAGUAGUUGGAGGAUCGCUUCCUGCG
Molecule: transfer RNA, 94 nt
Filed under: Weissella confusa
Lineage: Bacteria; Bacillati; Bacillota; Bacilli; Lactobacillales; Lactobacillaceae
Description: tRNA-Gly
Source: RNAcentral